Long non-coding RNA from Thunnus maccoyii (southern bluefin tuna), 263 nucleotides. RefSeq lists it as uncharacterized. NCBI's taxonomy places the organism in Eukaryota, Metazoa, Chordata, Actinopteri, Scombriformes, Scombridae. The transcript is spliced from 3 exons. The record is from RefSeq and is a predicted model, not a curated record.
AUCUUCGUCUUCGUCUUCGGGGAGUGGAGGAGGGGGCCGUCGCUGCUGGACGAGGAGCAGGAGGAGCAGGAGGAGGAGGAAUGACCAUUCAACACUUCUUAAAGGAGCAACGUAUCGCUACAGAAUGGACCAUGUUUUACCAAAUUUACUACAAGUCAAGCAUCUUUAUAUUACUGCUGACUAGAGGUUGUACUCCUCACAGCCCAUAGCCUGUUUAUCCACCUGACGACAGCAGAGCCACGCCCCCUCCUGCCAGAACUGAG